ACACAACCCUCAAACUCCCUAAAGUUCUUGAUUUUAAACAAAUCAUGUCUUGCUUUAUAAAAUAAACUCAAUGAACCUUGCUAUCUCCUCAUGGUGAACAUUCCUUUCAUAUGGUUGGCUUGCAUAUUCUUUAUUUCUCGCUUAUAUUCCUAUCACUUGUGAACAAUUUAUCAUCGGGAAAGCAUGUCAUCUAAGUACUUAGGAAUUUUAUCUUGCAAAUAAAUAAAUAAAUAGCUUGGAUCCUCAAGGAUAUGACAAAUUCCUACCAAGGUCAUAUGUUGAUCUCAUUGAAAACCUUAUACAUAUGCUACUUGUUUUUGCAUUGAGCUUUGUCAAACUGUUGUGACCUGUGUGAGAAACUUUUUAUAUUUUCAUGAUCAAGAUCACGU
Molecule: long non-coding RNA, 389 nt
Filed under: Setaria viridis
Lineage: Eukaryota; Viridiplantae; Streptophyta; Magnoliopsida; Poales; Poaceae
Description: long non-coding RNA (SVIR_LNC005013)
Source: RNAcentral